Molecule: long non-coding RNA, 1084 nt
Organism: Callorhinchus milii (elephant shark)
Lineage: Eukaryota; Metazoa; Chordata; Chondrichthyes; Chimaeriformes; Callorhinchidae
Exons: 5
Source: RefSeq, a predicted model, not a curated record
UGUUGAUGUGUAGGAACGAAUGCCCUUCAAAUGAGUAGCAUGACAAUGAGCUAAAUCUUGUGCCCUAAGGGAGUUUGGUGGUGUUGACAUAGAUGUAGAUUCUCUAAGAGGAGUGGCUGGUGGUAUGUUAGGUACAGGUGCACUAAGGAGAGUGAGCUGCUGAUGUGCGUGACUAGGUUUCCAGCAUCUUAUUUUUGUAAGUUGGAAGAGCGACCCCAGGACUGCGUAAUUACUUCAAGCUUGAUGCAGCAAAGACUCCACCCUAGUUGUAAUAGCAUAGCAGCACAUAGCUGUUGCUGUAAGAUAACACUUAGCUCAGUUAGAGUCCUCUGUCCCCUGGCUUGGUAACGAUUAGGCUGAAAGAGCUGAGCCUGAAUGAUGCACAAUUUCCACUAGCAGCAGCCUGUCAGUGGUAGAUCGAUCUCCUGUGGUUCCAAGGGCACUGUUAAUGGACACUUGUGGAAAGCGGGAAACAGGCGAAGCUAGUUUUCUUCUAGCAAGAACAUAAGAACAUAAGAAUUUGAUGGCAAAAGAAGACCAAGAUUCACCAAUAACCAGGCUACAGUAACUGAGAGAUGUCGUAGUGGAAGAUCCUGGGAAAAGAUCCUGCUAUUUGAAAGCUCUCUGGCCAGUCAGUCUGUACUAACUUCCCCCAGCUGAUGUCUCACCACCAUCACAGUCAGCGUCUGCCUGCCUUCUCUUCUGAGCAGGAAAUGACAUCUUCAUACAAAAAUAUUUCAUGAAUAAUGACAAUAUUGCUUAUAUUUGGUAUUGUGCCCAUAUUAUCUUCUUGCAAAAUAGGCUCUGAGUACGACUGCAAAACAAAUCAAUUUAAUGAAAGACACAAUUUCCUAUUUGCAAAUGUCACGCUUUAUAUCCCAUUGUAAAAAAAACCACACGUGCACAUACACACACAUAUAUGUGUAAAACAUUCAAACGCAUGCCCGGUAUUUUACUGUCAGAUGUUAAUCUUAUUAAAGUGUCAGUUGUCAUACUUGCAAUUUUUGAUACAGUGGCCCACAUGUUGAAACGUCGAUUUACUUUACAGCAUAUUUCUGUGAAGCGCUUUGAGACGUCUCAACCC